Molecule: ribosomal RNA, 432 nt
Filed under: uncultured bacterium
Lineage: Bacteria
Description: bacterial SSU rRNA
Rfam family: Bacterial small subunit ribosomal RNA
Source: RNAcentral
GAACGCGAAGAACCUUACCCGGGCUUGAACUAAGAGUGACAGAUUUAGAGAUAGAUCUUUCUUCGGACACUCUUGGAGGUGCUGCAUGGAUGUCGUCAGCUCGUGCCGUGAGGUGUCGGCUUAAGUGCCAUAACGAGCGCAACCCUUUUCCUUGGUUGCCAUCAGGUAAUGCUGGGCACUCCAGGGAUACUGCCAUCGUAAGAUGUGAGGAAGGUGGGGAUGACGUCAAAUCAGCACGGCCCUUACGUCCGGGGCUACACACGUGUUACAAUGGGGGGUACAGAAGGUCGCUACCUGGUGACAGGAUGCUAAUCUCAAAAACCUCUCUCAGUUCGGAUUGGAGUCUGCAACCCGACUCCAUGAAGCUGGAUUCGCUAGUAAUCGCGCAUCAGCCAUGGCGCGGUGAAUACGUUCCCGGGUCUUGUACACACC